RNAcentral lists this ribosomal RNA (1554 nucleotides) under Klebsiella pneumoniae. RNAcentral describes it as "bacterial SSU rRNA". It matches the Rfam family "Bacterial small subunit ribosomal RNA". The record is from RNAcentral. Lineage: Bacteria; Pseudomonadati; Pseudomonadota; Gammaproteobacteria; Enterobacterales; Enterobacteriaceae.
ACUUAAAUUGAAGAGUUUGAUCAUGGCUCAGAUUGAACGCUGGCGGCAGGCCUAACACAUGCAAGUCGAGCGGUAGCACAGAGAGCUUGCUCUCGGGUGACGAGCGGCGGACGGGUGAGUAAUGUCUGGGAAACUGCCUGAUGGAGGGGGAUAACUACUGGAAACGGUAGCUAAUACCGCAUAACGUCGCAAGACCAAAGUGGGGGACCUUCGGGCCUCAUGCCAUCAGAUGUGCCCAGAUGGGAUUAGCUUGUAGGUGGGGUAACGGCUCACCUAGGCGACGAUCCCUAGCUGGUCUGAGAGGAUGACCAGCCACACUGGAACUGAGACACGGUCCAGACUCCUACGGGAGGCAGCAGUGGGGAAUAUUGCACAAUGGGCGCAAGCCUGAUGCAGCCAUGCCGCGUGUGUGAAGAAGGCCUUCGGGUUGUAAAGCACUUUCAGCGGGGAGGAAGGCGGUGAGGUUAAUAACCUCAUCGAUUGACGUUACCCGCAGAAGAAGCACCGGCUAACUCCGUGCCAGCAGCCGCGGUAAUACGGAGGGUGCAAGCGUUAAUCGGAAUUACUGGGCGUAAAGCGCACGCAGGCGGUCUGUCAAGUCGGAUGUGAAAUCCCCGGGCUCAACCUGGGAACUGCAUUCGAAACUGGCAGGCUAGAGUCUUGUAGAGGGGGGUAGAAUUCCAGGUGUAGCGGUGAAAUGCGUAGAGAUCUGGAGGAAUACCGGUGGCGAAGGCGGCCCCCUGGACAAAGACUGACGCUCAGGUGCGAAAGCGUGGGGAGCAAACAGGAUUAGAUACCCUGGUAGUCCACGCCGUAAACGAUGUCGAUUUGGAGGUUGUGCCCUUGAGGCGUGGCUUCCGGAGCUAACGCGUUAAAUCGACCGCCUGGGGAGUACGGCCGCAAGGUUAAAACUCAAAUGAAUUGACGGGGGCCCGCACAAGCGGUGGAGCAUGUGGUUUAAUUCGAUGCAACGCGAAGAACCUUACCUGGUCUUGACAUCCACAGAACUUUCCAGAGAUGGAUUGGUGCCUUCGGGAACUGUGAGACAGGUGCUGCAUGGCUGUCGUCAGCUCGUGUUGUGAAAUGUUGGGUUAAGUCCCGCAACGAGCGCAACCCUUAUCCUUUGUUGCCAGCGGUCCGGCCGGGAACUCAAAGGAGACUGCCAGUGAUAAACUGGAGGAAGGUGGGGAUGACGUCAAGUCAUCAUGGCCCUUACGACCAGGGCUACACACGUGCUACAAUGGCAUAUACAAAGAGAAGCGACCUCGCGAGAGCAAGCGGACCUCAUAAAGUAUGUCGUAGUCCGGAUUGGAGUCUGCAACUCGACUCCAUGAAGUCGGAAUCGCUAGUAAUCGUAGAUCAGAAUGCUACGGUGAAUACGUUCCCGGGCCUUGUACACACCGCCCGUCACACCAUGGGAGUGGGUUGCAAAAGAAGUAGGUAGCUUAACCUUCGGGAGGGCGCUUACCACUUUGUGAUUCAUGACUGGGGUGAAGUCGUAACAAGGUAACCGUAGGGGAACCUGCGGUUGGAUCACCUCCUUACCUUAAAGAA